CCUACGGGAGGCAGCAGUGAGGAAUAUUGGUCAAUGGGCGCGAGCCUGAACCAGCCAAGUAGCGUGAAGGAUGACUGCCCUACGGGUUGUAAACUUCUUUUAUAAAGGAAUAAAGUGAGGCACGUGUGCCUUUUUGCAUGUACUUUAUGAAUAAGGAUCGGCUAACUCCGUGCCAGCAGCCGCGGUAAUACGGAGGAUCCGAGCGUUAUCCGGAUUUAUUGGGUUUAAAGGGUGCGUAGGCGGAGCGUUAAGUCAGUGGUAAAAUUGAGGGGCUCAACCCCUUCCCGCCAUUGAAACUGGCGCUCUUGAGUGGAAGAGAAGUAUGCGGAAUGCGUGGUGUAGCGGUGAAAUGCAUAGAUAUCACGCAGAACCCCGAUUGCGAAGGCAGCAUGCCGGCUUCCGACUGACGCUGAAGCACGAAAGCGUGGGGAUCGAACAGGAUUAGAUACCCGGGUAGUC
RNAcentral lists this ribosomal RNA (459 nucleotides) under uncultured bacterium. Its description in RNAcentral is "partial 16S ribosomal RNA". It matches the Rfam family "Bacterial small subunit ribosomal RNA", at positions 338 to 795 of the family's 1533-position model. The record is from RNAcentral.